UACAAUAAAUAUAUUGCUUUCUCUGCUGAAUAUAUUUUCGUUUUUUCUGCAGAUUAGUUGAACGAAUUUUAAAAAUUUAGAAUAAACUGACUGUAUAAAAGGUAAAGUAAAUAAAAAUUGUUGAAGGGUGAACAAAAUAAUAGUUGUAUUAUUUAUUGCUUUCGAUUAAAACCGCAACGUUACGAAAUUAUUAAAAUAUGGAGGACUUAAAAAAGUUAUUGGAACAAAAUGAAGACUAUUUAUUGAGCAGCUCGAGUGAAAAAGAGACAGACGAUGAAUCAUCAUUAUCCGCAUGGGAUUUAAAAAAGUACAGUGAUGACGAUUCAUUUUCCAAAAAUUACGUAUUGGAAAUAAAAUGUUCAAAUUCCAUAACCUCAAACAAAAGAAAUGGUGAAAAAAGAUUGCCUACAAGAAGACCUGAUCCAAACGUCUACAAUCGCAAUGCUUUGUUAGCAAGAGAAAAUAGACGAAAGAAGAAGGCGUAUUUGGAAACUAUAGAGAAGGAGUUACAAUUUGCUCGUAAAGCUAAUAAUGCUUUAGUAAAAGCUCUUAAACGACAGCUAAAAAUAGCUCAACGGCUUGAAAAAGAAAAGAAAUAUUAUGAAGGGUUGUUUGCUAAUAGAUCUGAUAUAUUAAACCUAGUAAAUGCAUUAAAUUUUCGUUGCAUUCCUGUAUCGAGCGAUUCUCCUAAUUCCACCUUUAGUAGCAAUGCAGAUUUAAUUCAGAACGUCAUGAGAAGUACAACGAGCCUUAGCAGUAAUUUAAAUGAUGCCGACGCGCUAUCAAUACAGUUUGAUAGUCCAUCUGAUGAUUUCGAUAGUGACAAAGACAAUUUGCCCUCAACCUCUACAACAUGGGAUGACAUAUGGGGUGUAAAUGGUGUUCAUAUUGAUAAUUUAAUUUCACCCGAAUCAACUCUUAUGCAGGAUAAAAGUUGUAUACAAAGCAUUAACGAUGACCACUGUUAUGUGAUGAGUUCUUCGUUGGGCAGUUUCCAAUCACCUAAAAAACAUAGUGAAAAUAGUGAUUAUGUCGAUGUUGAAGGAGAUUCUUCAGAAAUUGGAAUAUUCUGUUCUAGUAAUUGGGACAAAUCGUGUCGAACACCGCCUCUUCAGCUUUUAAGUGACCAGACGUUUUAAACAGUUUUUUUUUGUAAAAAUUCAAAUUUGGCCUAUUUUGGAUCAUCCACGAUGCUGCGAAUAGUGCUUGACGCUGGCGUAAAGCUCGCACAAUAUGUAGCAUCUAGUAGUCAAGCAAGUUUUUCUGUCAUGGAACAAAAUCGUUACAACUUUUGCAGCAAAAAUAUGUAUCGUUUCAGUUGAACAAAUAAUGAAAGCAAGAAAAUUUAAUUACGAUAUUUGAUAUCGAUCAACAUAUUUAUAAAAUUUAAAUAGUAAUUUUGUCAACAAAUUUUCUUGCAAUCAUCAUUUGUUUCGUGUAUAUAUUAUCAUAUGUACAAAUCCAUCAAAUGCAGUUUACUUACUGUACAUAUGAUAAUUGGUAAAAUGUUUAAAAAUAAACGCGAGAUAAUGCGUUCAUGAAUUUUGUUUAAAAUCAAACUAAUCAAUUCUUUUUUUAUUUGAGUAUUACUAUUGAGUUACAGAUUUGAAGAAGUAAUCCUCCUACGAAAUAUCUGCAAAGACUAGAUCAAUAAAUGCAACCAAUUGUGGUUUUUGGUAUUUGUUGAAAUGUUGAUGUAACCGGCUUGGAAAAUAAUACGGUAUGUACCUCUACUGCUACUCCCACUUUAUCAUUAUAGUGUUAUUUAAUAUAAAUAUAGUUUAAGAAAGCUUAUUCUUAAAUGUAUUAUACACAUUCAUAUAUUAUAAAAGGAUAAAACGUAAUUUAAACACAUACAUACAUAUAUUUUAAACAAAUUGUUGUUUUAUAAUAAAAGUUUGUUAGUAUAAUUUAUAAAAAA
Molecule: unclassified non-coding RNA, 1921 nt
Filed under: Lucilia cuprina (Australian sheep blowfly)
Lineage: Eukaryota; Metazoa; Arthropoda; Insecta; Diptera; Calliphoridae
Description: uncharacterized LOC111688752, transcript variant X3
Source: RNAcentral